RNAcentral lists this ribosomal RNA (253 nucleotides) under uncultured bacterium. RNAcentral describes it as "partial 16S ribosomal RNA". It matches the Rfam family "Bacterial small subunit ribosomal RNA", at positions 524 to 776 of the family's 1533-position model. The record is from RNAcentral.
UACGUAGGGGGCAAGCGUUGUCCGGAUUUAUUGGGCGUAAAGAGCGUGUAGGCGGCCAUGCAGGUCCGUUGUGAAAACUCGAGGCUCAACCUCGGGACGUCGAUGGAAACCGCAUGGCUAGAGUCCGGAAGAGGAGAGUGGAAUUCCUGGUGUAGCGGUGAAAUGCGCAGAUAUCAGGAAGAACACCCGUGGCGAAGGCGGCUCUCUGGGACGGUACUGACGCUGAGGCACGAAAGCGUGGGGAGCAAACAGG